AACGAACGCUGGCGGCAGGCUUAACACAUGCAAGUCGAACGAGAUCUUCGGAUCUAGUGGCAGACGGGUGAGGAACACGUGGGAACAUCCCUUUCAGUUCGGAAUAACGUUGGGAAACUAACGCUAAUACCGGAUACGUCCUUCGGGAGAAAGAUUUAUCGCUGAAAGAUUGGCCCGCGUCUGAUUAGCUAGUUGGUGAGGUAAUGGCUCACCAAGGCUACGAUCAGUAGCUGAUCUGAGAGGAUGAUCAGCCACAUUGGGACUGAGACACGGCCCAAACUCCUACGGGAGGCAGCAGUGGGGAAUAUUGGACAAUGGGCGCAAGCCUGAUCCAGCCAUGCCGCGUGAGUGAUGAAGGCCUUCGGGUUGUAAAGCUCUUUUAUCCGGGAAGAUAAUGACUGUACCGGAAGAAUAAGCCCCGGCAAACUUCGUGCCAGCAGCCGCCGUAA
RNAcentral lists this ribosomal RNA (449 nucleotides) under uncultured bacterium. RNAcentral's name for it is "partial 16S ribosomal RNA". It matches the Rfam family "Bacterial small subunit ribosomal RNA", at positions 29 to 523 of the family's 1533-position model. The record is from RNAcentral.